This 254-nucleotide ribosomal RNA is filed under the name uncultured bacterium. RNAcentral describes it as "partial 16S ribosomal RNA". It matches the Rfam family "Bacterial small subunit ribosomal RNA", at positions 524 to 776 of the family's 1533-position model. The record is from RNAcentral.
UACGUAGGGUGCGAGCGUUUGUCCGGAAUUAUUGGGCGUAAAGAGCUUGUAGGCGGUUUGUCGCGUCUGCUGUGAAAAUCCGGGGCUCAACCCCGGGCCUGCAUUCGAUACGGGCAGACUAGAGUUCGGUAGGGGAGUCUGGAAUUCCUGGUGUAGCGGUGAAAUGCGCAGAUAUCAGGAGGAACACCGGUGGCGAAGGCGGGACUCUGGGCCGAUACUGACGCUGAGGAGCGAAAGCGUGGGGAGCAAACAGG